AACGAACGCUGGCGGCAGGCUUAACACAUGCAAGUCGAACGGGCGUAGCAAUACGUCAGUGGCAGACGGGUGAGUAACACGUGGGAAUAUCCCUCUCAGUUCGGAAUAACUCAGGGAAACUUGAGCUAAUACCGGAUACGUCCUUCGGGAGAAAGAUUUAUCGCUGAGAGAUUAGCCCGCGUCUGAUUAGCUAGUUGGUGAGGUAAUGGCUCACCAAGGCGACGAUCAGUAGCUGGUCUGAGAGGAUGAUCAGCCACACUGGGACUGAGACACGGCCCAGACUCCUACGGGAGGCAGCAGUGGGGAAUAUUCGACAAUGGGGGCAACCCUGAUCCAGCCAUGCCGCGUGAGCGAUGAAGGCCUUAGGGUUGUAAAGCUCUUUUGCCAGGGAAGAUAAUGACUGUACCUGGAGAAUAAGCCCCGGCUAACUUCGUGCCAGCAGCCGCGGUAA
This 451-nucleotide ribosomal RNA is filed under the name uncultured bacterium. RNAcentral's name for it is "partial 16S ribosomal RNA". It matches the Rfam family "Bacterial small subunit ribosomal RNA", at positions 29 to 523 of the family's 1533-position model. The record is from RNAcentral.